AUGCCUCCACUUCACACCUUACUGAUUCCUCCAAUCCUAAUACCUCUGUAUCCUUUCACACUUCUUCCUUGGCUCCUCCUUCCCACCGUGCUCAAUUCAAUUCUCAUACCCUUCCUACCUCUGAUUUUUUCUGGCACUAUGGAACAACAACAAACCCUCUCCCUUAGUGUGCCCAACUCUUCUAUUUCUCAUACUUACCCAACUGAGAAUGGAGCAAGCAGCCUAGAAACAGGAGUACCAAAUAAUUCAGAUAGCUUAUUUCCUUUAAGGGAAGUACCCACUUUUAAUAAAAAUGGAAACUUGGUAUCUGUAAGACAUCAUACACCUUUUAGCCCUCGGGAUUUAAAAAAAUUGAAGGAAGAUAUGCCAUCAUUUGAGGACGAACCAAUAUUAAUUAUAAAAAAAUUAGAGAACAUAUUCAGAACUUUUGACCCCACUUGGUUGGAUGUUGAGAAUUUAUUAGAAGCCUUAUUGACAAAGAGAGAGAAAAAUAAUAUCGUCUCUCUGGCUAAUCAAAAGCGAGGUAAAAAAGGAAGUUAUUGGCCAACUGAAGAUCCACAUUGGAACCCAAAUGUUGAACUAGAUCACACAAAACUAAACCAGGCCAGAGAAGCAUUAUUGACAACCAUGAGAGCUUGCCCUGAUAGACCUGAAAAAUGGUCAAAAUUUGAAAGAAUUGGACAACAUAUUGAUGAAACACCCUCCCAGUUUAUGGACAGACCUAUUGACGUAGGGAAUACAGACCUUGAUUUAUCCAGAGAAAGAGACAUUAGACAAAUACAUAGGCAAUUCAUUGCGAAUUGUUGUUCAGUGGUAAGAGACUACUUUAAAACUAGCUGUCCUAAUUGGGACUCUAUGGACCUCGAAGAACUGAGAAGAGUAGCAACCUAUGUUUAUAAAGGUCGUGUAAAAAGACCUGAGAAAGACGAUACAUCAGUGGAAGAUUUAAUUCACACCAGGAAAGCUCUGAGUAAGUUUCUCAGCUCUUUGUUCCUUGUAAAUUCACAAGUUGUCUGA
Molecule: long non-coding RNA, 1017 nt
Filed under: Monodelphis domestica (gray short-tailed opossum)
Lineage: Eukaryota; Metazoa; Chordata; Mammalia; Didelphimorphia; Didelphidae
Description: lncRNA (ENSMODG00000048930.1)
Source: RNAcentral